GACGAACGCUGGCGGCGCGCUUAACACAUGCAAGUCGUGCGGUACCGAUGGCAAGUCUUCUUGACGAGCCUUCGGUAUAGCGGCGGACGGGUGAGUAACACGUGAGUAGCUGCCCUAGGGAGGGGGAUAACGCCUGGAAACGGGUGCUAAAACCCCAUAAGCCUCGAAAGAGGUAAAAGUGCAUCACUGCAGUCCUAGGGUGUGCUCGCGGCCUAUCAGCUAGUUGGUGAGGUAAGGGCUCACCAAGGCCAAGACGGGUAGCCGGCCUGAGAGGACGACCAGCCACACUGGAACUGAGACACGGUCCAGACUCCUACGGGAGGCAGCAGUGGGGAAUUUUGGACAAUGGGCGCAAGCCUGAUCCAGCAAUGCCGCGUGCAGGAUGAAGGCCUUCGGUUGUAACUGCUUUGUACGGAACGAACGGUGAGCUCUAAUAAAGCUUGCUAAUGACGGUACCGUAAGAAUAAGCACCGGCUAACUACGUGCCAGCAGCCGCGGUAAG
Molecule: ribosomal RNA, 502 nt
Filed under: uncultured bacterium
Lineage: Bacteria
Description: bacterial SSU rRNA
Rfam family: Bacterial small subunit ribosomal RNA
Source: RNAcentral